This is a long non-coding RNA of Vidua chalybeata, 418 nucleotides long. RefSeq lists it as uncharacterized. The record is from RefSeq and is a predicted model, not a curated record. The transcript is spliced from 3 exons. Lineage: Eukaryota; Metazoa; Chordata; Aves; Passeriformes; Viduidae.
GCGCGGAGCAGGGGCUCGAGCGACCCGCCCCACCCCCGCUGCCUCCUCACGUCCGGCGCCAUCUUGUGCCGGGAGAGCAGCGCGACCCGCCCGGAAACGAGGGGGGCGGGGGGGAGGAAGGGAAGAGGAGAGUGAUACAUCCCUGGGAGUGUCGAAAGCCAAGCUGGACAGGGCUUUGAGCAACCUGAUCUAGUGGAAGAUGUCCCUGCAUAUGGCAGAGGGAGGAACGAGAUGGGCUGUCUGUGUAUUAAGAAACUGCAAAAAAGCAAUAAAAAGCCUUUGACUAUUUUCUGAGAAUGCUACUGUCACAAGAAAAGUUUAUCCUAUUCAAUGGAAGUUCCAAGCCUAUAAAAUUGAUGUCUACCAUUCUUUCUUCAGAAAAAAACUAAUUAAACCCCUCAUUCAUCACUUGCGUGAA